This is a non-coding RNA of Drosophila melanogaster (fruit fly), 667 nucleotides long. Lineage: Eukaryota; Metazoa; Arthropoda; Insecta; Diptera; Drosophilidae. The record is from Ensembl.
AAUAAUUCAAAAUCCUAACAGAUAACAAUCUGCGCAACUUCUACCAAAUAAUUCAGAUUAGGAUAAUCCUGGAUCUUUUGGAGCUGCUCCCACAGAGGCUGCGAAGUUGAGUGUACACAUGUGAACAAUGGCAAAUGUGAACGGUGUGUGAAGUAGGCACAUACUUUUCCAGUGUACCACACUCGCUGGCUUAUGUAACCUGUCGUCCAGGGGUUCAUCGGCUUGGAGGGAUCUGCAGAGAAUGAGCCACCAAACACCAUCGGACGGCAAACAUUUCGCGAACUCAUCUUCAUCAGCGUGGCUGCUACCAACUUUGUCGCACGGGCAUUCGCCCUCUGUCAUCAAUAGGCCGGAAUAGUCGGUUUUUUGUCGCUCAUCAGCCUCGUCAGCGACUGUGAAAAAUGAACCCUCCUAUAGUCAAUUUAGUAGGCAGUUUGUGUCCACCUGUUGAUUAGCGAUACGAAGCCGAAAUGACGCACCUGAAUGGGGGGAUCUGCGAAUCCAGAACGGUCCUGGUUGCGAGGUUGCGCUAACGCCAUGAUGGCUCUCAAGUAGGAACCCUAACGGCUAGUCACCAGAAGAAAAGAAAUCACAGCGCGGAGCUUAUCAUAUCUAAUUUAUAGAAUAUAUUUUGUAUACUUUUAAAAUAAAAUGUUAAACUAACUAU